Molecule: ribosomal RNA, 530 nt
Filed under: uncultured fungus
Lineage: Eukaryota; Fungi
Description: eukaryotic LSU rRNA
Rfam family: 5.8S ribosomal RNA (bases 178-331)
Source: RNAcentral
UGAACCUGCGGAGNGAUCAUUACAAGAACGCCCGGGCUUCGGCCUGGUUAUUCAUAACCCUUUGUUGUCCGACUCUGUUGCCUCCGGGGCGACCCUGCCUUCGGGCGGGGGUUCCGGGUGGACACUUCAAACUCUUGCGUAACUUUGCAGUCUGAGUAAACUUAAUUAAUAAAUUAAAACUUUUAACAACGGAUCUCUUGGUUCUGGCAUCGAUGAAGAACGCAGCGAAAUGCGAUAAGUAAUGUGAAUUGCAGAAUUCAGUGAAUCAUCGAAUCUUUGAACGCACAUUGCGCCCCCUGGUAUUCCGGGGGGCAUGCCUGUUCGAGCGUCAUUUCACCACUCAAGCCUCGCUUGGUAUUGGGCAACGCGGUCCGCCGCGUGCCUCAAAUCGUCCGGCUGGGUCUUCUGUCCCCUAAGCGUUGUGGAAACUAUUCGCUAAAGGGUGUUCGGGAGGCUACGCCGUAAAACAACCCCAUUUCUAAGGUUGACCUCGGAUCAGGUAGGGAUACCCGCUGAACUUAAGCAUAUCA